CCUACGGGAGGCAGCAGUGGGGAAUAUUGGACAAUGGGGGGAACCCUGAUCCAGCCAUGCCGCGUGUGUGAAGAAGGCCCUCGGGUUGUAAAGCACUUUCAGUGAGGAAGAACGCCUGGUGGUUAAUACCCAUCAGGAAAGACAUCACUCACAGAAGAAGCACCGGCUAACUCCGUGCCAGCAGCCGCGGUAAUACGGAGGGUGCGAGCGUUAAUCGGAAUUACUGGGCGUAAAGCGCGCGUAGGUGGCUUGAUAAGCCGGUUGUGAAAGCCCCGGGCUCAACCUGGGAACGGCAUCCGGAACUGUCAAGCUAGAGUGCAGGAGAGGAAGGUAGAAUUCCCGGUGUAGCGGUGAAAUGCGUAGAGAUCGGGAGGAAUACCAGUGGCGAAGGCGGCCUUCUGGACUGACACUGACACUGAGGUGCUAAAGCGUGGGUAGCAAACAGGAUUAGAUACCCUGGUAGUC
This 465-nucleotide ribosomal RNA is filed under the name Vreelandella stevensii. RNAcentral's name for it is "partial 16S ribosomal RNA". It matches the Rfam family "Bacterial small subunit ribosomal RNA", at positions 338 to 795 of the family's 1533-position model. The record is from RNAcentral. Lineage: Bacteria; Pseudomonadati; Pseudomonadota; Gammaproteobacteria; Oceanospirillales; Halomonadaceae.